RNAcentral lists this long non-coding RNA (828 nucleotides) under Homo sapiens (human). RNAcentral's name for it is "HSALNT0161216". The record is from RNAcentral. Lineage: Eukaryota; Metazoa; Chordata; Mammalia; Primates; Hominidae.
GCAGGGGUGUAGAGGUGAAGAAGAGCUCUGGGGAUAGGUCAAGUCAGCUGGGCUGUGCUACCACGGGCAGCAGCAGUCUGCAGGAGAGCCCUGAACAUCAGUCUACUGGAUGCUGUAGCCCAAGUGACAACAACGUAACUGCGGAGCAAAUGCUGGAGCAGUAGAAAUGCUAGAGCUUCUAAAAUCCGCUCAGUGAGCUGAUUAGUUACAAAUAUGAAGGAAGCAUCAGCUCAUUCAGUACAAGCAAUGGAGCCUAGGAAUUAACAGUGAAGACUGGACAUAGCUGGAGCAAAUGACUUAACCUCUCUCUGCCCGUUUCCCUCAUCUGAGAAAUGCCGGCUGCCAAAGGGCUAUUCGAUGAAAACAUUACAUACCAUCAUUGAGAUAUGCACUCUUUCAACCUGAGAACGCUUAUUGAAAGGAGCCAAGGGUUAUUCUGUAACUAUGUGCUCAGGCAAGGAAGAUUUCCCACUUCUCCACUAACAACAGUCAGAAGCCAAAAGCUCCACUCAGGUGCUUGGCUACAUUUUGCCUUAAAGGACAGCUGAAGUGGUGCGGUUACCUCCACCCCAACAAGGACUAAGAAAGACGUCUGCCCAACACUAUGGAGCCGAUUUUACCACAGAGCUUUAGGAAUUAGGAAUAUCAUUUGAGCCACGAUUCUAAGGGAGCUGGGGCGGCAGGGGCUGCAGACAGCCACUCUAGAGAGAGACAGCAUCUUUGGAGAAGACUAAGGUGGCAAUUCGUUUUCCAUGUGGAAAUUCUUCUUGAGGAUCUAAGCACCAGCCCAAACCACACAAGGUUAUGUAUUUCAAUAAAGAGGCCAUU